This 273-nucleotide ribosomal RNA is filed under the name uncultured bacterium. RNAcentral's name for it is "partial 16S ribosomal RNA". It matches the Rfam family "Bacterial small subunit ribosomal RNA", at positions 82 to 354 of the family's 1533-position model. The record is from RNAcentral.
CUUCCGCCGGCGACCGGCGCACGGGUGAGUAACACGUAUGCAACCUGCCCCUGUCAGGGGGACAACCCGCCGAAAGGCGGGCUAAACCCGCGUACAUGCCACCGGGGCAUCCCGGAGGCAGGAAAGGCUUCGGCCGGACAGGGAUGGGCAUGCGGCGCAUUAGGCAGUAGGCGGGGUAACGGCCCACCUAACCGAUGAUGCGUAGGGGUUCUGAGAGGAAGGUCCCCCACACUGGUACUGAGACACGGACCAGACUCCUACGGGAGGCAGCAG